Molecule: long non-coding RNA, 242 nt
Filed under: Helianthus annuus (common sunflower)
Lineage: Eukaryota; Viridiplantae; Streptophyta; Magnoliopsida; Asterales; Asteraceae
Description: sRNA HanXRQr2_Chr06g0253341
Source: RNAcentral
GGAUUCUCAAGAUUAAGAGGAAAUUGAGAGCUCAAAUCAAUGCUAGAACCCGAAUUGUCAACCAUCUAAGCUCGAGCAACAAUAGGCGUGAAGGAAGAAAGCUCUAACACUAGUCAAGCGGGAGGUGUACAAGAUCGAGGUAAAGCACCUCUAUAGGCGAUAUGGAGAUAUGGAACGAGCACAUGUUCAAGCCUUAUAAUACCAAGCGCUUCCGCAACUUAUAUGCAUGUUUUUGGGUUUGA